CCCAAUGUAGUCAAUUUCGUCCAUACCGGCCGAAAUAUCGGCGAUAUUACCGGUAUCGGACACUGAGCGAUACGGAAAUCCCGAUAUCGCAAAACGAUUUUUGUGCCGAUAAUACCGUCCGAUACGGUAAAUACAGUACACCGAUAAUAUCGUAUUAUCGGCGAUAUUUGUCAUUUGCUGUAAUUUCUGAGGGCAUUUUCGGGAUUAUAAGAGAAGGGAAGAGAUUUAAUCCCUAAAUCCCAUCGAUACGCAAAGGGUAGAGAGUUGAUUUUACAAAUUUCGUUGCAGGUUCUUCUUCUCUAUUUUAAUGGCGAGAUUCAGUUGAUUCUAUCUUAACAAGAGGUCCAAGGGAAGAUACAUCUUAUAUGCAUAUCCAGCAAAGGCAAAGUCGCUGAAGAAACAUCAAAACAGUUCAUCUAGCAACUGGGUUGUGAUUAUGGAUUCUUCUAAUGCAUCAAAUUCAAAUACGGCAAACACUACCUGUGAUUUAUU
Long non-coding RNA from Papaver somniferum (opium poppy), 492 nucleotides. RefSeq lists it as uncharacterized. Lineage: Eukaryota; Viridiplantae; Streptophyta; Magnoliopsida; Ranunculales; Papaveraceae. The record is from RefSeq and is a predicted model, not a curated record. The transcript is spliced from 3 exons.